ACAAUUUACUUUCAAUUCACUGAUUGCUUUGCAUAAGUCCCUCCAGCCCAGGCUGGCUGCCAGAUUUUAUAAACAGGACCUUUGCAAUGUGAGCUGAUCAGCAUCAGGCAGGCAGGGGCAGCAAGAUGGUGCCACAGACUCUGUUCCUCAUGUCCUUGUUACUCUGGGCCUCUGGUGCGAGCGGGGACAUUGUGCUGACCCAGUCUCCAGCCUCUCUGGCUGCGUCCCCAGGAGAAACGGCCACCAUCAACUGCAAGUCCAGUCAGAGUGUGAGAAAAUACUUAGCCUGGUACCAGCAGAAACCAGGACAGGCUCCUAAGCUGCUCAUCUACAGUGCAUCUAACCGGGCAUCUGGGGUCCCUGACCGGUUCAGUGGCAGUGGGUCUGGGACAGACUUCACUCUCACCAUCAGCAACCUCCAGGCUGAAGAUGUUGCAGUUUAUUAUUGUCAGCAGUAUUAUAGCUCUACUCCCACAGUGCUUCAGCCUCGAACACAAACCUCCUCCCCAGGGCUACAGGCCAGUGAGUCUUCACUGCACCAGCUGCUUCCUUUCUGCUCAGCCCUGAACGUGCACCCUUCCUCAGACUAUCCCAAAGGCCACAUCUCCUGACUAAUUCCUUGGAGUAUUUGCACGACCCAGGAGAAAAUUCAGGGAUAUGGCUUCUUCUGGAUCAGCUUUUGUGUUCUGCAACCAACAUAGGCAGAUCUCCUUGCAGCUCCUAGAAGCUGAGGGAAGAAGAAGGUUCAGUCA
This is a non-coding RNA of Trichechus manatus latirostris (Florida manatee), 752 nucleotides long. NCBI's taxonomy places the organism in Eukaryota, Metazoa, Chordata, Mammalia, Sirenia, Trichechidae. The record is from the annotation of a RefSeq genome assembly.